Molecule: ribosomal RNA, 363 nt
Filed under: Procambarus pubischelae pubischelae
Lineage: Eukaryota; Metazoa; Arthropoda; Malacostraca; Decapoda; Cambaridae
Description: partial small subunit ribosomal RNA
Source: RNAcentral
UAGUACACUUAGAUUUAAUGAAUAAAAUACUAGAAUAUUAGAAGUUAUGUUCUUUAAAUUUAAAAAAUUUGGCGGUGUUUUAGUCUAGUUAGAGGAACCUGUUUUAUAAACGAUACAACACGCAUUAUUUUACUUGUUUUGGUUAAUCAGCUUGUAUACCGUCAUUAUAAGAUAAUUUAGGAGAAAAUAUUAUUGUAAUCAUAUUAUUGAGUAUAUUAGAUCAAGGUGCAGCUUAUAAACAAGUAAAUAUGGGUUACAAUAAAAUUUAUUUAUUAUGAAUUAAAUAUUGAAAUAUAAUUAUGAAGGAGGAUUUAAUUGUAAGAAAGGGAGUAGCAAGAUUUUCUGAUAUAAGCUCUAAAUUAU